UUUCCGUAGGUGAACCUGCGGAAGGAUCAUUCAUAAUAAAGUGUUUUAUGGCACUUUUUAAAAAUCCAUAUCCACCUUGUGUGCAAUGUUAGAUCUCGUCAAUCUUGGCGAGAUUUUUAUACAUCAACUCAUUCUUUAACUAAUUUGUCUGAAAAAUAUUAUGAAUACUUAAUUCAAAAUACAACUUUCAGCAACGGAUCUCUUGGCUCUC
Molecule: unclassified non-coding RNA, 211 nt
Filed under: plant metagenome
Description: partial contains small subunit ribosomal RNA, internal transcribed spacer 1, and 5.8S ribosomal RNA
Source: RNAcentral